Molecule: ribosomal RNA, 496 nt
Filed under: uncultured bacterium
Lineage: Bacteria
Description: partial 16S ribosomal RNA
Rfam family: Bacterial small subunit ribosomal RNA
Source: RNAcentral
AUGAACGCUGGCGGCGUGCCUAAUACAUGCAAGUCGCGCGAACGGACGAGAAGCUUGCUUCUCUGAUGUUAGCGGCGGACGGGUGAGUAACCCGUGGAUAACCUACCUAUAAGCCUAGGAUAACUUCGGGAAACCGGAGCUAAUACCGGAUGAUAUUUUGAACCGCAUGGUUCAAAAGUGAAAGACGGUCUUGCUGUCACUUAUAGAUGGAUCCGCGCUGCAUUAGCUAGUUGGUAAGGUAACGGCUUACCAAGGCAACGAUGCAUAGCCGACCUGAGAGGGUGAUCGGCCACACUGGAACUGAGACACGGUCCAGACUCCUACGGGAGGCAGCAGUAGGGAAUCUUACGCAAUGGGCGAAAGCCUGACGGAGCAACGCCGCGUGAGUGAUGAAGGUCUUCGGAUCGUAAAACUCUGUUAUUAGGGAAGAACAUAUGUGUAAGUAACUGUGCACAUCUUGACGGUACCUAAUCAGAAAGCCACGGCUAACUACGUG